UACGGAGGUGCAAGCAUUAAUCGGAUUUAUUGGGCGUAAAGGGCGCGUAGGCGGCCGCAUAAGUCAGAUGUGAAAUCCUGGGGCUUAACCUCAGAACAGCAUUUGAAACUGUGCGGCUAGAGGGUAGUCGGAGAAAACGGAAUUCCACGUGUAGCGGUGAAAUGCGUAGAUAUGUGGAAGAACACCGGUGGUGAAGACGGUUUUUCCGGGAUGACACUGACGCUGAGGCGCGAAAGCUAGGGGAGC
This 246-nucleotide ribosomal RNA is filed under the name uncultured bacterium. Its description in RNAcentral is "partial 16S ribosomal RNA". It matches the Rfam family "Bacterial small subunit ribosomal RNA", at positions 524 to 769 of the family's 1533-position model. The record is from RNAcentral.